RNAcentral lists this ribosomal RNA (497 nucleotides) under uncultured bacterium. RNAcentral's name for it is "partial 16S ribosomal RNA". It matches the Rfam family "Bacterial small subunit ribosomal RNA", at positions 28 to 507 of the family's 1533-position model. The record is from RNAcentral.
GAUGAACGCUGGCGGCGUGCCUAAUACAUGCAAGUCGAGCGAACAGACGAGGAGCUUGCUCCUCUGCCGUUAGCGGCGGACGGGUGAGUAACACGUGGAUAACCUACCUCUAAGACUGGGAUAACUUCGGGAAACCGGAGCUAAUACUGGAUAAUAUAUUGAACCGCAUGGAUCAAUAGUGAAAGACGGUUUUGCUGUCACUUAUAGAUGGAUCCGCGCCGCAUUAGCUAGUUGGUAAGGUAACGGCUUACCAAGGCAACGAUGCGUAGCCGACCUGAGAGGAUGAUCGGCCACACUGGAACUGAGACACGGUCCAGACUCCUACGGGAGGCAGCAGUAGGGAAUCUUCCGCAAUGGGCGAAAGCCUGACGGAGCAACGCCGCGUGAGUGAUGAAGGUCUUCGGAUCGUAAAACUCUGUUAUUAGGGAAGAACAAAUGUGGAAGUAACUAUGCACGUCUUGACGGUACCUAAACAGAAAGCCACGGCUAACUACGUG